Molecule: RNA transcript, 2159 nt
Organism: Pelmatolapia mariae (spotted tilapia)
Lineage: Eukaryota; Metazoa; Chordata; Actinopteri; Cichliformes; Cichlidae
Gene: arl16
Gene name: ADP-ribosylation factor-like 16
Exons: 10
Source: RefSeq, a predicted model, not a curated record
GUGAGGCUACAGCUAUACGCUACGAGUUUUACUAUGGUUCUGCAGAAAAACCGGCAUGACCAGCAGAGAAAUGUGUUUACUCCUCGGAGCGACCGGUGUUGGAAAGACGUUGUUGCUCAAACGUCUACAGAAGUUUAUCGUACAUGGUUUAGAUGAAUUAGGGACACCACCUUCAACUCUUCCCACAGUAGGAACCAAUCUGACAGACCUAACCGUGAAGAAGAAGAAGGUGACUGUGAGAGAGCUGGGAGGCUGCAUGGGCCCUAUAUGGCCCAGUUACUUCAAAGACUGCUCCUCUGUCAUUUUCAUGGUGGAUUCGGCCAACAUUGCUCAGAUAUCCUCCUCCUGUAUCCAGCUGCUGUCAGUACUCUCAGCUGAGCCUCUGAGCAAGGCCUCUGUGCUUAUUCUCUUCAACAAGAGGGACAUGCCUUGCACUAUGAACCUUAUAGAGAUAAAGUCACUGUUCAGGAUGGAUGACAUUGUUGCAUCUGCGACUCAGCCAAUCACAACACUGGAAGUCAGUGCCAGAUCUGGAGAGGGACUUAAAGAGGUGAUGAGCUGGCUGGAGUCCGUCACAGUCAAGUGACAUACGUUUACUGACUACUUCAUUAGGCAAAGGCCAUACUCGGCCUACAGGACUGAGGCUGGAGACGUUGUCCUGUGGUGGAUCCCAGGGGUUGGCUGGAGGUUCCCAUGGUGGGGGAGGGCUGUUUGAAGGUGGAGGUACCAUCCAUGGAGAAUCAGCUCUUGGAACGCGGCUGCCUUCUUAAUUAACACACAAAUAAAAGAGUCUGUUAGCCGAGCUUUCUGGAGCAGGGACUCAUCUCCUUGGCGGCUGAGCUCCUCCUUUCAACAGAUGAAAGACACACUUACACAACAGCCCCUGCUACUCACAGCGGAAGGAGGAAGGAGAGCUUCUGCACCUGCCGCCCUCAUCACUCGGGUAUCCUGGGUAAGGAGGAGGUGUUGGGCAUUAUGAGAAAAGGAAGGGGCUCCACCUCCCCUGCUGGUCUGCCCUGGUUACAUCAUUAUGACAGCGGUGGUGGGCCUCGCAUAACUAACGAAACACCCAGUGUCCUGUACAUAUGCCUGAACAUUCUUUGUUUCCCAACAAAGGCGUGAUGAGGUCAGGACAGGGGGGACAUGCAGGCGAGGGCUGGGAAAACAGAGGGGGAGGAGAGAGGACAGCCAAUGAUGACGUCAUGCAAGAAAGGCAAUCAGACUUCAAGUGUGUGUGCACAUGUAUUACUUCUGGAGACAUUAAUCUAUUCACACACUCUUAUACCUCCUGGGGACACCUCCAUUACAGUGAGUGUGUAUAAUGUAAAUUACUACGCUGAAAGGAAGACUUAGAUUAUGGUGGUAUUAGCCAUAGUAAGUCUCAGGGAUAUUAACAUGACAUCCUAUUUCAUCAAAAAAAGCUGGAUGUCUGUGUCAAAUGUUUUUGUUUUUUUAAAUUGUAUAGUGUAAUAAUGCAAAGAAUUUAAAUAUAAUUUAACCAUAAAGUUUAUUAAAACUGUUACAGACAUUAUUGAAACUAAGAAUUUGGCACACAAGCCUAAUUCCCAAAAGUUACCAUACUCUGUAAAAUGUAAAUAAACACAGAAUAAAAACAUAUUUUAUUCACAGUAGAACAUAGAACACAUAUCAAAUGUACAAUUAUAAGAACAAUAUUAGCUCCACUUUGAAUUUCAUGGCAGUCUGUAAAAAAUAUCUGGAACUGAAGACAUCAGUCGCUGGACUUUUGGGAGAGGAAUGUUGUUCCAUUCUUGUCCGACAGCCCUUGGUCUUGUUUGCCAUAUUUUAUGUUACAAAGAUGGCAGUGUGUCUCAGUGAUGUUCACAUAUGGCUUCUUCUUUGCAUGACAGAGCUUCAACCUACAUGUGUGAAUGGCACAUGUAGGUACUUCCAGAUUUCUGAAAGCGUUCCUGAGCUCAUGCACUGAUUUCUAAAACAAAAUCAUGCCUGUUUUUAAUGCAGUGCUAUCUGAGGGCAGAUCAUGAACAUAUAGUAUUGCUUUUCAGCUUUGUCCACUUCGCGUAGAGAUUUCUCCAGAUUCCCUGAAUCUUUUGAUGAGCUCAUGCUCUAUAGAUGAUGUGAUUUUCACAGCUUUUUCAAUUUUACACCAAGAAACAUUAUUCUGAAAUUAACAGGCAGAC